CAAUAGCGUAUAUUAAAGUUGUUGCAGUUAAAAAGCUCGUAGUUGGAUUUCUGGUGGGAGCGAUCGGUCUGGCGCUUAGCGCGAGUACUUGCAUCGUCUCCGGCCAUCCUUGGGGAAAGUCUGUCUGGCAUUAAGUUGUCGGGCAGAGGAUCCUCAUCGUUUACUGUGAAAAAAUUAGAGUGUUCAAAGCAGGCUUAUGCCGUUGAAUAUAUUAGCAUGGAAUAAUAAGAUAGGACUUUGGUACUAUUUUGUUGGUCUGCGCACCAAAGUAAUGAUUAAUAGGGACAGUUGGGGGUAUUCGUAUUCCGUUGUCAGAGGUGAAAUUCUUGGAUUUACGGAAGACGAACUACUGCGAAAGCAUUUACCAAGGAUGUUUUCAUUAA
RNAcentral lists this ribosomal RNA (383 nucleotides) under uncultured eukaryote. Its description in RNAcentral is "partial 18S ribosomal RNA". It matches the Rfam family "Eukaryotic small subunit ribosomal RNA", at positions 592 to 976 of the family's 1831-position model. The record is from RNAcentral.